RNAcentral lists this ribosomal RNA (484 nucleotides) under uncultured bacterium. RNAcentral's name for it is "partial 16S ribosomal RNA". It matches the Rfam family "Bacterial small subunit ribosomal RNA", at positions 29 to 507 of the family's 1533-position model. The record is from RNAcentral.
AUUGAACGCUGGCGGCAUGCUUUAUACAUGCAAGUCGAACGGCAGCGCGGGCUUCGGCCUGGCGGCGAGUGGCGAACGGGUGAGUAAUGCAUCGGAACGUGCCCAGUAGUGGGGGAUAGCCCGGCGAAAGCCGGAUUAAUACCGCAUACGACCUGAGGGUGAAAGCGGGGGACCGAAAAGCCUCGCGCUAUUGGAGCGGCCGAUGUCGGAUUAGCUAGUUGGUGGGGUAAAGGCUUACCAAGGCGACGAUCCGUAGCUGGUCUGAGAGGACGACCAGCCACACUGGGACUGAGACACGGCCCAGACUCCUACGGGAGGCAGCAGCGGGGAAUUUUGGACAAUGGGGGCAACCCUGAUCCAGCCAUGCCGCGUGCGGGAAGAAGGCCUUCGGGUUGUAAACCGCUUUUGUUCGGGAAGAAAUCCUCUGGGCUAAUACCCCGGGGGGAUGACGGUACCGGAAGAAUAAGCACCGGCUAACUACGUG